This 545-nucleotide ribosomal RNA is filed under the name uncultured bacterium. RNAcentral describes it as "bacterial SSU rRNA". It matches the Rfam family "Bacterial small subunit ribosomal RNA", at positions 335 to 870 of the family's 1533-position model. The record is from RNAcentral.
ACUCCUACGGGAGGCAGCGGUGGGGAAUAUUGCGCAAUGGGGGAAACCCUGACGCAGCAACGCCGCGUGUAUGAUGAAGGUCUUCGGAUUGUAAAGUACUGUCUUUGGGGAAGAAUGAUCGGAUUGAAAAUAUUGAUUCGAUAUGACGGUACCCAAGGAGGAAGCCCCGGCUAACUACGUGCCAGCAGCCGCGGUAAUACGUAGGGGGCAAGCGUUGUCCGGAAUUAUUGGGCGUAAAGGGCGCGUAGGCGGAUAGUUAAGUCCGGUGUGAAAGAUCAGGGCUCAACCCUGAGAGUGCAUCGGAAACUGGUUAUCUUGAGGACAGGAGAGGAAAGUGGAAUUCCUAGUGUAGCGGUGAAAUGCGUAGAUAUUAGGAGGAACACCAGUGGCGAGGGCGACUUUCUGGACUGUAACUGACGCUGAGGCGCGAAAGCGUGGGGAGCAAACAGGAUUAGAUACCCUGGUAGUCCACGCUGUAAACGAUGAGUGCUAGGUGUAGAGGGUAUCGACCCCUUCUGUGCCGCAGUUAACACAAUAGGCACUCC